Grammomys surdaster is the source of this 102-nucleotide small nuclear RNA. The record is from RefSeq and is a predicted model, not a curated record. NCBI's taxonomy places the organism in Eukaryota, Metazoa, Chordata, Mammalia, Rodentia, Muridae.
AUGUCCUCACUCAGGCAUCAUGUGUAGUAGAAUGAUACUAGAAUAUUAAUAUGAUCCCUGCUCAAGGAUGACAUGCAAAUUUAUGAAGCAUUCCACAUUUUU